Molecule: unclassified non-coding RNA, 204 nt
Filed under: Hevea brasiliensis (rubber tree)
Lineage: Eukaryota; Viridiplantae; Streptophyta; Magnoliopsida; Malpighiales; Euphorbiaceae
Source: RNAcentral
UUUCAAUCAAACUGUUUGGGGUUUCAACAACAAAUAAUGCACCCAAAGUCAACAAUACUGCUGGAAAUCCAGCUAACCCUAAUGAUAAUCUCCAUCCCCAUCCUCCACUAAUCUUGGCUGUUCCGUAGUUGACGAGAUUGGCAAAAAGAAUACCAAUAGUUACGUUAAGUUGGAACAAAAUGUUAAGUCCUCCACGAAUUCUUG